RNAcentral lists this unclassified non-coding RNA (319 nucleotides) under Hevea brasiliensis (rubber tree). Lineage: Eukaryota; Viridiplantae; Streptophyta; Magnoliopsida; Malpighiales; Euphorbiaceae. The record is from RNAcentral.
AGAGAGAGAGAGAGAGAGAGGAGUAGUUAAUGGAAAUGGAAGGAGAUAGUUUUUGCUUGUUCUUUUUUUUCUUUUUUUGGAUUAAUUUUGGUGGUCGCCGCUGCCCGCUAUUGUAGCACAAUUGGAAAUCAGAACUUUUUGAGGGUCUGGUGUUCCAUCCCUGUGGGAACAAGUGACAGUAGGACCGUAGAUCUUUUUGAUGAAGAGAAUCUUACGCUGUGCGCUGACCUGACCAUUCAUUAGUUGGUGCUUAAGCCUUCAACUAUCGACACGCAAUAUCUGGUCGCGACUGGUGACCAUUGGGUGGAUUGUCCUGAUU